AUAUCUCGGUAUACAAGAAGGAGGAUGUUCCUCCUAAAUUUGUGAAUGGGAGGCCGUUCUUAACAACGGUGCAACUUUCUAAGUUGUCGACUCCGGAGAUUAGAAUGCAUGAGUGGUACAUGGUGGCUAGCUGUAACACUCCAGGUUCCACAAACAACCCGGUAUGCUACUGUACUACACUUCCGACGUCCAUAUAUAAAAUUUCGGCAGCAUCCCCUUUGCAAGAUUGCAUAAAAGAGGGAGCAACGGAGUAUAAACAUAUAUCAUGACUAAAACAUACUAAGUAUUAUUACUCGGCUAGCAAGGAAAGAUAAACAUACGACCUGAACUGAAUUAACCAGUGCGCACGACCAUAUAAAAAAAAUAAACAAACUUCCAUUGACAAUAAGUUUCUAAUUAAAUCAUGGUUGCGCCUGGGCAGCGUUAUUGUGAGAGUGAAAGUGGACGUGCUGCUACUCCCCUCAUUCCCAACAUGUAUCAAGUACCUGCAUUGAGUAAUGCAAGAGUGAGAUGACACAUCUCAGCAAGUAAAAUAAUAUCAAACAGUUUAACCACAUAAGAACAUUGUUUUACCACCACUUAAUUCCACAACCUUCUUAUUACGAAGGUGCAGCACGUAUACAACGUACAACGCACCUAGUUACCACACCUCGCAGGUAGAAACCACAAUAGUAACAUAGUAAUGUCACACUUCAUAUAUUCCUCAUGAGUGCAAAUGUCUGCAAAUGCAAGGAUGACUUCUGCCUUCAUACCUCUAAGGAUAUGAAGCCGCAUCGUACCCCUCCUCGGGCAACGUACGAUGCUAAAAAUGUACCGGUACGGUCGGACCAUAAGAUCACGACAUAACUUCAAAAUGCAAGAUGGAUGAUGCGAUGUGCAUGUCAUGCCUACAACACUUCAUAUAACAUGAUUCAAAAAGACACUUCAACUUCAUCCAGAUGGGAAUCAACCACAUAUAUCAUUACCAAAUUAUGAUCAUCCACAAUAUUAGACAAUUGAGAAUCAAUACUUCCAAACAAAUAAACUUCAUCAUAGAAUUCAAUGAUUAACAUAAUUAAAACUUAUGCAUACUCAAUGACAGGGAAUAGGAUGCAAACCAAACGGUAGCAACCACCACUGUAUUUACUUGCCUUUACCGGAAGUUCGGGCAAAUCCCUAAGUACGAUCCGGAAGUCCACCACCUGUUUUUGACACCCAACUUAGUACACCAAUUUCACAUAAUCAGGCUCAUAAGCGAUGUCGCACCUACGCACAAACUCAAACCCCGCCGCGGGUUACAUCUCUCCCUACACCCACCAAACUGCAGCAGCGCUGCUUAAUAAUUUCAUAACUUUAAAAGUAUGACAGCAGUGGUAACAAACAAAAACUUCAGAGGCAUCUACAUAAAAUUCCCCACAAGUUUUGUAUACAAUUUAUAAUUAAAUUCCAAUAUCUAAUUAGUCCACAAGAUGAACCCUGUAAUCUGUUUUUCUUUGUCUUUUGGACAGCGACAUAUCCAGAUUCAAACAGCGAUAUCUUUUAAAAUAUAAUUCCAAAUCAAGCGCAUAAGUACUCAUUGGAAAGAUAAGACAAAUACCUACAUGAUUACCACACUGGUUAACACUAAUUACCCACGAAAAAUUCCCAGAAACUGCUAAUACCACUGCUGUUCACCCACCUAAAAAAUCUGUUUUUUUGGACAGCAACAUAACCGGAUUCAAACAACGAUAUCUCCUGAAUUAUAACUCCGAAUCGAGCGCAUAAGUACUUGUUGGAAAGAUAACAUAAAGCCCUACAUGAUUCUCAUACUGAUUAACACUAAUUACCCACGAAAAAUUCCCAGAAACUGCUAAUACUGCUGCUGUUCAUCCCCCUGAAAAAUCUGUUUUUUUGGACAGCCACAUACCCGGAUUCAAACGGUGAUAACUUUCAAUUUAUAACUCCAAAUUGAGCGCAUAAAUACUCGUUGGAAAGGUAAGGUAAAGUUCUACAUGAUCCCCAAACUGAUUUCCCUUAAUUCCUCACGAAAAAAACACAGAAACUGCUAGACUACUGCUGUUCACCCACCACCUAAAAUUCUGGACAGCCCCCCUCUACCCCAAUCGCAAACGCAACCUCUAAUCAAUUAAAUUGCAGCGCAAAUGAACAAGGGAUGAACACAAAAAUCACCUUGGAUUCUCCCCCUUUCCUUCCUCCCUUCUUCCCUCCACCAAAACGAUUGAAGACUCGCACCACGACGACGAUGAUCCGAGCGGCAAGGAUUGGCACCUUGGGAGGAGGGGAUUGAGAGGGGGGGCGGCUAGGGUUUGGUGGCUGCAAGAAUUGAGAGAGGAGGAGAUGGGCAGGGGGGCGGCGGCCAAGGGGGAAGAGAAGUGGGGGGGGCGGCUGCACAUGGGGGGGAGGGGGUUAGGAGGGAGGCGGCUAGGGUUUGAGAGGGUUAAUGGGCCGAAACUCCAAUUGCGGCCCAACUAACCCACGCGACAGCUCCCGACCGCAACGCAAGCGUCAAACCUAAUAAAUUCUACUGCCCUAGUUGUGAAUGUUUUCCACAAAAUCCCAAAUCCCCAAAACAACAACCGGAUGAGGAAAAAAACAAAAAGAACAACCCCCAACUUCUCUUCUUUGCAAACCGGGUAUCACACUCUACCCCUCUUAAAAAGAAUUCGACCUCGAAUUCUGACGCUUCUAUCGGAACAACAAAAGAAAGGUUAAUGAAUCAACAAAACUCACACAUAAAGAAAAGUUCGAGUACUUCUGCCGUAUCAGCUCCUCAAGCUCCUAGGAUUCUAAGAUACGCAGCAGACGACACUCUAGAGUCUGCUCUUGCUACACAGGAAUCGGCUCUAGCUCGAUUUGAUGGUCUGGAUUCCGCACAUACUUCCUCAACAAAAAGACAUGGAAUACUUGGUGUACUCUGAUCACAGAUUCCGACAAUUACAUGUGCUAAGCCCAGCUGCCAACUCGGCCAAGAUAGCAGACGGUCCUAUAUACCUCGGAUCAAGCUUUCCUGACACCAAAUCAAUCAUUGACAUAUGCAAGUACUUCAAGGAAUGUAUAUAUGAAUGCAAGGCAUAUAAUGUUCCUAUAGGCUAAACCAAACUUAGCCACACAAGAGCAACUUCAAGAGAGCAACUUAAUGCUUGCAUAUUUUUAGAUAGCAGCACAACAGUUAAUUGUUUUGCUCCUAACUCACAAAAAUAUGCAUCGAAAAUUAGUAAACUAGGACUUUAUGGAAAACUUAUAAAGUCCACUAUACCCUUGGUAUUAUCAUCACAUCAAGAUUUGACACUUAGAAAGGUCAAACAGUGCUAAACGUAAAUUUUGUCCAGACUUGGACAUAAUUCAACUACUCAAUUCAAAAAUCCAUAAUUGGGGUCUCAAUCAUCCAAAUCAGGUGCUCCCAGACUUUUUAGAAAGCUAGUAGAAUUGUCUAUAAUUCAUUUAUAAACAUAUCAAGUUAAUUCAAUGCAUAUUAAGGUCAAAAGACACGAGAAAGGCUCUGCUGUCCAAAUUUGGACAAAUUCAGAGAUCACACUUAAAACAACUGUAACUUAACUUAUAGAUCUCCAAAAAAAAUUAAUCCAAAAUUUGUUGUAACGAUUAAGAAAAGUACUACAACUUAUUUAUAAUUUAUAAUAAGUUAUUCGAAGUUUAAAUUGGGCAAACAAGGUCAGCUUCGAAAUCUGUAUAGAAUCUGCACAUAUUUCAAGACUGGACUUGAGAAAAUCAUAACUCCCAAACUACUAGACCUAUGGUCAUGAAAUUUUUACACAAGUAAGAUAAAUAAGUUGGCUACAACUUUUAUAUAUAACAUCUCUACAGAAAAGAUGGUUUACUUCACUGAACUAGCUGCAUAACUAAAACUGGUCAUGCAGUCCCAAUAGCAAGCAAUAGAUUUUAUCAGGUUCAUUACUCUUCUAAGAUUAAGCGUUCAUUGAAAGACUAAUAACUUUAGGUUCUUCAUUACGAGACACCUAGAACAAAUAUAAUUAUAGAAGCAAUAUGAUAACUUUUUAAAUCCUUUAAGCCUAAUCUCACAUCAUGCAAACAAGAAUCAAUUUAAGCAUGUUAUGUCUGCCCACAUAUUCAUCCAAGCACAUUCUAUACAUGAUAUCAUAACUCCCUGCAGCUAACAAAAUUUUGCAAAUAUAAACUCACUGAAAAGAUUAUAACAUUCCCUAGAACUUUUAUUAUAAUGAGUGUCUCGGAAUUGGUUUCCAAACCAAUAAAACAAUGCAACUCUUUUGUUUCAAAACUGAUAAGAUUGAAACAAUGGACAACUAAAAUUCAAAAACCUAUAACUCCUACUAUACUCAACUUAAACUACAACGAACACGCGUUGGAAAAGUUUUGAAAAUUGUCCACGACUUUUGCAAUAAAGUUGCACCCAAAUUUAUCCUUAUAGCCCACAACUCUGCAUGACCUACAACUAAACUCAGCCUGAGAUACUGCACAUUAGAGAUUCGACUUAUAUCCGGGCAACCACCUCUCCAAAUCUAUUUAACAGACAGUUACAAGUAAAUACCCAUUAAAAAGGUACUAAAAAUACCUACAAGUUUUGCUUAAAGAGAAUUCGCAAAUUUGUGCUCUGCAACUAUCAAAACGCGGUCGAUUCAUUGGUGAUUAUAACGACGCCUAAAGUUUAGACACAACAGUGCAACAACUUCAGAGCAACCUAACUCCAAUUAUAUGCAAUGAGAAUUAGAAACCCAUACUCUUUGAAAAGAUCAUGAAAUUACUAAAACUUUCAUAAUCCACAAAGACCAAAUUAUACCGUCUUCAAUGUCUACUCUUCCGUACAAAAUUAAAGACUCACUCUGCUAGAGACACCAACAAAGAUGUUUUAAGAAACCCAUAUCUCUCAAAUGUUUAGACCAAACAUGGUGAUUAAGCAUCCUAUGGAAAGAUGCAGAAACAUACUACAAAACAUUCUAGAUAAGUGAAGCCUGAUUCAGCCUCCAACUAAUUUAAAAUGCCUCCUGAAACCAAACAACACAUUAUCAACAAUAAAAAAACAAUAUAAAAUGAAACCCAAGUCAUUGGCAGGUGCCAUCAACACUAGGAUUUUCCACUACCAAACUGGGAUGCAACUCCACAAAGUCUUUAAAUAACACUAUACCAAAUAGGUUAGAACACUAAGCACAACAAUCAAUGAUUUCAACAACCUCGUUUGUUAAUGCCACUAAGGUCAAACAUCCAUGUACCGACAAUGUAUGAAACACCUGACAUACCCGUCUCUAGCUCUAUAAAACAUGGUUGUUAUUACACUAGAAUCCAACUACUAGAAAUCUCCAAAACUAUUCUAUUGACGUGAAGCAAAUGGUGCUCAUGUCAUAUAACAUCUUUUCCCCCUCUCAAAAGAGAUAAAAUUUGCAAUACUCCUAAAGCAAUGGAGGGAUAACAACAAGAAAAAACUAAUGUACUUCUUGACACAGACUCAUGCAAAAGCUUCAUAAAUAUUACUUUCAAUACUAAAAUAAUAACACGAUACUAUGCUCAACAGGAGUAAUUAGACUUCAAUAAGAUAAUCCACCUAACCCAACUACUUUGAUUAACCUCACAUACAACAAUACCUCCUACUAUUGCACUUGAACAAUUUGUACCUAGUGAUGUCAUAGGAUGAAUUCAAAGUAGUAGACAUACAUGAUCUAUCAAACCAUCAUUCAUAUAAUAAAAAUCUCCAUCUAAUGUAACAACCACAUCAUUAUAGAGAUAGAUGACUAACAAACAUAAGCAACUUUCAGUUAAACAUUGACUUUGUUUAAGAUAAAGCGGUCCAAAUAAUAAUUCCACAAGCAUGCAUAGAGAACUGAUCAUAUAAAAAAAACUACCAUGUAUCAUCGGCGAUUAAAAACAAUAUAAAAUGGGCUGUCCAUAUCGUCCGCAUGACUAGCCUCCAACAAAUAGAAAUUAUGCAUAACCUUUUUGGCUAUAGAAACAAACCAUAGAAGGAAAACAUGCAUGCCUCUUCAACUAUAAUAUAGACAUAAAAUCCACUUGAAAUCACCCUAUUUAUUAUUAAAGAUAAGGUUGCACACAAUAAGAAAACCUAUCAUGCAAACAUGGUUGGACUUAUCUACCCACGUCAUCUUGCAAAUUCACUUGAGUUCUUCUAGUCUCAAGAUUUCAUAGACAGUACAACAUUGCCUUUGCUCUAUGGAGACAAACCUAUUGUACUCUAAGAUCAAGUUGGCAAGUAGCCACACUAGCCAAAAAAAAAGGUGAGGUGUAAAGCACUGCACCCAUGGAAAUAUUACAUUGAUAAGUUGGGUUGUAACCCAACAGUCAAUCCAACUCAACAACACCAUAAAACUUCAUUGUAUAGUGUUUUCACACUACACCAAGUCGGAUUAGAUCCUCUAUACACAAGCUCAAUAAACAAUCGGUCCUACAAGUACUAGAACCCAAGAAUCCUUUUGGGAAAAAAACAUCCACAGUCAAGCAUAUAGAAAUAUAUGAUGGUAAUAGCUCAGAGAUUAGUAAACAUUGCAUCCCAAAAAACAUCAUGACGAUAUGUAUAUAAAACAAGUACAUUAGUAGCUUCACUCGCAUAAUAAUUUCAAUAACAACCACAUCAAGAAACCAAUAUUAAAUAGAAGUAACAUUUCAUAUCAAGCAUUACGUCGUUAACGACAUACCUCAUCAAACCAUAAAGGGGUUUGGAGUAAGGAAAUUCUAGUCAUCUACACAAUAAAAUACUAAUAUGAAAGAUAUAUGAACCCAUACCCUUCCUAUAUGUGCAAGUGUGUCAAAUUUAUCUUCAAAUUGCAUAGAAUCUAAAGCCUAUCCUCUGAUACCAACUGUAACACUCCAGGUUCCACAAACAACCCGGUAUGCUACUGUACUACACUUCCGACGUCCAUAUAUAAAAUUUCGGCAGCAUCCCCUUUGCAAGAUUGCAUAAAAGAGGGAGCAACGGAGUAUAAACAUAUAUCAUGACUAAAACAUACUAAGUAUUAUUACUCGGCUAGCAAGGAAAGAUAAACAUACGACCUGAACUGAAUUAACCAGUGCGCACGACCAUAUAAAAAAAUAAACAAACUUCCAUUGACAAUAAGUUUCUAAUUAAAUCAUGGUUGCGCCUGGGCAGCGUUAUUGUGAGAGUGAAAGUGGACGUGCUGCUACUCCCCUCAUUCCCAACAUGUAUCAAGUACCUGCAUUGAGUAAUGCAAGAGUGAGAUGACACAUCUCAGCAAGUAAAAUAAUAUCAAACAGUUUAACCACAUAAGAACAUUGUUUUACCACCACUUAAUUCCACAACCUUCUUAUUACGAAGGUGCAGCACGUAUACAACGUACAACGCACCUAGUUACCACACCUCGCAGGUAGAAACCACAAUAGUAACAUAGUAAUGUCACACUUCAUAUAUUCCUCAUGAGUGCAAAUGUCUGCAAAUGCAAGGAUGACUUCUGCCUUCAUACCUCUAAGGAUAUGAAGCCGCAUCGUACCCCUCCUCGGGCAACGUACGAUGCUAAAAAUGUACCGGUACGGUCGGACCAUAAGAUCACGACAUAACUUCAAAAUGCAAGAUGGAUGAUGCGAUGUGCAUGUCAUGCCUACAACACUUCAUAUAACAUGAUUCAAAAAGACACUUCAACUUCAUCCAGAUGGGAAUCAACCACAUAUAUCAUUACCAAAUUAUGAUCAUCCACAAUAUUAGACAAUUGAGAAUCAAUACUUCCAAACAAAUAAACUUCAUCAUAGAAUUCAAUGAUUAACAUAAUUAAAACUUAUGCAUACUCAAUGACAGGGAAUAGGAUGCAAACCAAACGGUAGCAACCACCACUGUAUUUACUUGCCUUUACCGGAAGUUCGGGCAAAUCCCUAAGUACGAUCCGGAAGUCCACCACCUGUUUUUGACACCCAACUUAGUACACCAAUUUCACAUAAUCAGGCUCAUAAGCGAUGUCGCACCUACGCACAAACUCAAACCCCGCCGCGGGUUACAUCUCUCCCUACACCCACCAAACUGCAGCGGCGCUGCUUAAUAAUUUCAUAACUUUAAAAGUAUGACAGCAGUGGUAACAAACAAAAACUUCAGAGGCAUCUACAUAAAAUUCCCCACAAGUUUUGUAUACAAUUUAUAAUUAAAUUCCAAUAUCUAAUUAGUCCACAAGAUGAACCAUGUAAUCUGUUUUUCUUUGUCUUUUGGACAGCGACAUAUCCAGAUUCAAACAGCGAUAUCUUUUAAAAUAUAAUUCCAAAUCAAGCGCAUAAGUACUCAUUGGAAAGAUAAGACAAAUACCUACAUGAUUACCAUACUGGUUAACACUAAUUACCCACGAAAAAUUCCCAGAAACUGCUAAUACCACUGCUGUUCACCCACCUGAAAAAUCUGUUUUUUUGACAGCAACAUAACCGGAUUCAAACAACGAUAUCUCCUGAAUUAUAACUCUGAAUCGAACGCAUAAGUACUUGUUGGAAAGAUAACAUAAAGCCCUACAUGAUUCUCAUACUGAUUAACACUAAUUACCCACGAAAAAUUCCCAGAAACUGCUAAUACUGCUGCUGUUCAUCCCCCUGAAAAAUCUGUUUUUUUGGACAGCCACAUACCCGGAUUCAAACGGUGAUAACUUUCAAUUUAUAACUCCAAAUUGAGCGCAUAAAUACUCGUUGGAAAGGUAAGUAAAAGUUCUACAUGAUCCCCAAACUGAUUUCCCUUAAUUCCUCACGAAAAAAACACAGAAACUGCUAGACUACUGCUGUUCACCCACCACCUAAAAUUCUGGACAGCCCCCCUCUACCCCAAUCGCAAACGUAACCUCUAAUCAAUUAAAUUGCAGCGCAAAUGAACAAGGGAUGAACACAAAAAUCACCUUGGAUUCUCCCCCUUUCCUUCCUCCCUUCUUCCCUCCACCAAAACGAUUGAAGACUCACACUACGACGACGAUGAUCCGAGCGGCAAGGAUUGGCACCUUGGGAGGAGGGGAUUGAGAGGGGGGGGGCGGCUAGGGUUUGGUGGCUGCAAGAAUUGAGAGAGGAGGAGAUGGGCAGGGGGGGCGGAGGCCAAGGGGGAAGAGAAG
This 9002-nucleotide long non-coding RNA is filed under the name Zea mays. RNAcentral describes it as "long non-coding RNA (ZMAY_LNC000687)". Lineage: Eukaryota; Viridiplantae; Streptophyta; Magnoliopsida; Poales; Poaceae. The record is from RNAcentral.